Gastrolobium bilobum is the source of this 682-nucleotide long non-coding RNA. RefSeq lists it as uncharacterized. Lineage: Eukaryota; Viridiplantae; Streptophyta; Magnoliopsida; Fabales; Fabaceae. The record is from RefSeq and is a predicted model, not a curated record. The transcript has 3 exons.
CGACACAGCGAAGGAGAAAAGAAAAUGGAGGUUUUACAAUCAAAUCUUCCAAUGCUUAUAACUUGAGCUAAAGACCUCCAAAUCACUUCGUUCCAAAGCCAAACUGUGAGAAAUUUCGAGGGGAAUCCAUUGGUACCAGUAUUUCUGGGUGGGGUUCACUGUAGAGAGAGAUCUUCUUCGCCAAAGAUUUCAAAUUUCAUGGAAAAGAUAGAUUUUGAUGGAGCUUGAGGCCAUUGGAACUUAGAAACUCAUCUCUCAUUUGUUCUAGAGUGCAUUGUGGUGUGCCUAGGGACUGUGAACGUUUGGAUUCUCGUGGAGCAAGAUAAGUAGCUUGUUCUUCAAGUAAGCAGAUUGUAAAGCUCCAAGAGGAACACAGUUAAUUGAAGAGCCUUCAUGGGACAAGGACACUACCCGUGGCUAGAGGUACUAGUAUGAGGAUAUGGAGUUCUGGGUGGCCGGAUGCUACUAUUUAUUAUAGAUGUUAUUUUUGGAGAAUAUGUACUGUUAUAUAGUGUUCUAUUCAUUUUGGGAUCAUGAUGUUUGAUCCAUUAUACAAUAUAUGGUUCGUAUAUGUUUUGUAUAUGUGUUCAUAUUUGAUGCAUGCACAUUUGUGUAUUCAGAUAUGUGCAUGUACUGAAAUAUGUAUGUUGUUAGACAUAGUGGCACGGAGCCAGUUAUGCAU